CUUGGGAGUAUGGAGGAGGUAAGGCCCAAACCGCAGGGGGUAUGCUGGCUAUGAAGGAAGUAUGAAGCCAAAAUAUGCUUGGGCUUAAGUUGGAUAGAUUAAUCCCAAGGUGAAUGUUAUGAAGGAACGGAUGGUCAUCAUCUUCCUCAACUUUUCACUCUCAACAGCUCACAAGAGUAAUAGAAAAGAACAAGGUUCCGACGAAGAACCUAGUCGCAUCGGCUUUCGCCACCGGCGGCAGCGAUGCAAAACGGUAAAACAACUUACGCCAUCCUCCGCUUCAACCUCUCAUAACCGAACUAAGAAACAAACCUCUCAUCCUAAACGAAACCGAAUCGCUGACGUGAUUCCUCGACGGAACGAAACGAGCGGCGAACGAAAAAAUGGAAGCGAACUCGACCAUGAUUCACACCACAACAAAAGGAUCGACUAACGCGAAGAGAUGAGAGAACCUACCGGCGACGGUGGAGGCGGAACCGAAGCGACUGUCGAAUUCGAAACUCAGGAAUUGUGAUGCUGUGAUUUGUGGAAAUUGGCGUGGUGUAAUGAUUCUGCAGUUCAUAUGCGUGCAAGAUAUGGUGCGUUCGAUGAAGAGGUGAUUUACAGAACAAUUGCAGGAUUUAAAAAUAAGAUGAUGAAGAAGGUGUUAGGAGUUUUAACGAAUGCAGGUGAUGGUUCAGUUUGCAGAAUUGUGAUUUAGCCAAAGGAAAAGCAGAAGAUGAUGUUUUGUGAUUCUGGAAAUCAUUGUGGAUGGUGAUGUGAGGCGCGGGAAGAAGAAGAAGAUAUAGGUGUUGUUUGUUAGCAGAAAAGUGGGGAGAGUGAAAGCUCCGAUCUUAGCUCAUGAGUUUAUAUCGAGUUGUUUGCAAUCGGAUGUGAGAGCUUGAAGUUUGAACUUGGUCGCGUUUUCAAUUCAUGUUGCAUUUCAUUUUUGUCAUGCUGCAUUUUGGCUUGCAUUUUGGUUUGUGCUGCAAUUUCUUGGCAAUGUUGCAAUUGCGUUUCGUUUCACUUCAUGCUGCAUUUCAUUUUGUAAAUUACUGCGUUUUGGCUUUGCAAUGCCUACAUUUCCAAUUGCCUUUUUUUCCUUUUUUGUCUUAUUUGAUAUAGUACUUGGACCUUGCUUUUGUUGUCUUAUUUGGUAUGCUUCGAUAUGGUUACUAUAAUUUGAAUCUUUGAUAUUGGAUAUAUAUAAUGGAUUUUGUUGGAUA
This is a long non-coding RNA of Lathyrus oleraceus (garden pea), 1205 nucleotides long. RefSeq lists it as uncharacterized. The record is from RefSeq and is a predicted model, not a curated record. NCBI's taxonomy places the organism in Eukaryota, Viridiplantae, Streptophyta, Magnoliopsida, Fabales, Fabaceae. The transcript has 2 exons.